GUCAACAUCCAUUCCGCCACUAUCAGAAAUUUUAAAUUCCGCUCCAGCAGGACGAACAAGUUCUUCAUCAGUUUGAGGGACACUAUGUGCCGGCAGAGUUUCAGAAGCAGAAACCUUUUCCUCUUCUAGUCUAUCAGAACUCUCAGGUUUUUGCGCAGCAGAAGAUUCAAGCAAAGCACCAGAAAUUGCAGCACCUUGAUCAACAUCUACAUCUACAUCACCUACAGGUCUGUUACUGUGUCCAGAACAUUCAUGAACCACCCGCAUGGCAUCACCAGAAACUUCAAAAGCUUCAGCCAGUCUUGAAAUAUCAGAUACAAUAAGGGAGCCCUGAGAUACACUAGGAUCACCCAAUUGACCCUGAACUGGAAAGGGAAUAACAGUCAGACAAACCUUCUGAACCGCCUCAUGAGAAUCAGCAAUGCUCAAGAGUGAUGACGGUCUGGACUGAUCAUUUGUUUCUGUGCAAUUCAUAUCAUCUUGAGCACAUUGUUCAGAUAGAGGGGGUUUUAGAGACUCUGUUUCACGAUUUACACCAUCAUUCUCAGAAUCAACAUCUGUCGCGACUGGUGGGGUUCCCCCCAUUGCAUGAUUUGUAUCAGAAAUCAAAGGUCCAAAAUUAUUUCCCUCACUUGCAUUCUUCUCAGUUAAUAUAGGAGCUUCAAUCUCAUGUACUGGCGUUACAGAAGCCUCUGUCUUGCUGUCUGAAUAUUUCUCGGCAUCAUCUGUAGUACCACCAGCAUCACUACCUCCUAUGGAGACAUGAAGGGAAGAUUCAAGAGGCUGCUCCAAGCGUACAUUUACUUCACCAAUAAAACCAUCACCAGUUAAAACAGGAGGCAUCUUGGUACGUUGAGUAUCUACAGGUGGAUCAACAUUGCUGCUAGAAGCAACUUCACCUGUACAAGUUACCAGACUACCAGCAAUUUGAGCUUCACCGGGUAGAUCAACCUUACAGCCAGAUGCCUCUACACCAGGAGGACUGCUAUCAACCUUACUUCCACACGUGUCUUCAACACCCGAUUCCAAAAAUGAAUCAACCUUAUUGUUCGAUUGCUCUAUACAAGGAACAGAAGUACUAGCGGUAGUCGAGCUCCUAGAAAAGCCAAUUCCUUUUCCAUUAUCAUCGCAUGGAACACCAUUUUCACUCGUAGGAGGCCUUGAAUCCUCAAUGUUAUCAAUGGAGCCAGAAAUUACUUUGCUUUCAACUUUGCAAGGAUCAUUAUUAUCUACAGAAUCUUCACCCAAAGCAGGAGAACUCUUACCGGUUUCAUAUGUAUGAUUUCCAUCUUCUCCAGAGAUACUUACCGGGAGUAUCUCAGAUGAGUGAACCACUUCUUCGAAUGCAGAGGAAGAGGGCAAUGGACUUUUGCAUCCUAUAUUCUCGAAUACAACUUCAUCAGUAUACACACCGGCUCCUUUGUCCAGCUUAUCCUCAAAUUCUCCUUCAUCCACUUUCUUAUCUGAUUCUGCUUCGUCUACUUCAACCUCCGAUUCUUUCAACUCAACAAGUCUGCUGGAGCUACGAGAUAAAUCUUUAGCUGACAAGUCUUCGACCUUACAACCCUCAUUUUCACACACAAGUAAUCCAACUGGUGUUUCUGAGCUGCAGAGUGGAACAUCCACAGAAAUCGUAUUUUCUGCCUCGUCUUUCGGUAGAUAAGAAGCAACUUCAGAGGCCCCUGUUUCAAUCCCAUCUUUGCAAGUUGUUGGGUUCACCGAGCUGCUGCAUGGACCCUGUGCAUGCUGAGUAUUAAACGCUUCAACUUCCUCCUGCAAGCUAGACGUAGUAGGUUCAUCUGAGAGACUCCUGUCAGAAUGUGACAAGUCAACUUCCCGUCCUAUUUUUGUGCAAGGCACUUUCACUUCUACUGCAGCUGAGCUGUCUACCGGACUCUUUUUACAUCCACCAUCAAGAAUUACUUCCUCGGCAGACACAUCUACUGGUAUAGAGAGCUGUUGAAAAGAUAAGAGAACAAAAAAUACACGCAAGGGACAUUACAAUCUUGUAAUGGCAGUGAAAUGCAUAAUAAGCUAUAUACACAAUCAAAUGCCACAGUGCACAGUUACACACAAGCUUGUAGAGGGGGAGCGAUCAAAGACGAUUGAACUUUGCAUUCAUCACCAACAGUCUCUUCCAAUAGACGAGGAAUUAAAGGGACUGCACAUUUAAAAAAGGGAAAAGACCAACCUGUUCCAGUGAGGGAUCCAGAACUCUCGGCUGAAGCUGAUUUCCAACAUGAUCUUCUGAACUUGGCUCUUUAAUGGUAGUUUCAGAAGCAAAAUCACCAGGCAAUCUACUGUCAGCCCAUAACUGCAAGUUACUUGGAUCACAGCUUUUCUUUUCAGUGGCGGAUUCACACGCCAUGUUCUUCUCGGAAUGUGUACGUCUAUCUUCCACCGUAGAUAUUUGGGCAGGUUUGCUCUCCAUGCUUCCAGAUACUUGAUCCAGUUGUAAGUUAAUGUUAUCUUCAGGUUGACAAAGUGUACCAUUACAUUUAGCAUCAUAAUGCCCAGGAGAACAUGCGUCUACUUCGGAGUGGUCAACAUCCAUUCCGCUACUAUCAGAAAGUUUAAAUUCCGCUCCAGCAGGACCAACAAGUUCUUCAUCAGUUUGAAGGAGACUAUGGGCCGGCAGAGUUUCAGAAGCAGAAACCUUUUCCUCUUCUAGUCUAUCAAAACUCUCAGGUUUUUGCGCAGCAGAAGAUUCAAGCAAAGCAUCAGAAAUUGCAGCACCUUGAUCAACAUCUACAUCUACAUCACCUUCAGGUCUGUUACUGUGUCCAGAACAUUCAUGAACCACCCGCAUGGCAUCACCAGAAACUUCAAAAGCUUCAGCCAGUCUUGAAGUAUCAGAUACAAUAAGGGAGCCCUGAGAUACACUAGGAUCACCCAAUUGACCCUGAACUGGAAAGGGA
This 2918-nucleotide long non-coding RNA is filed under the name Linum usitatissimum (flax). RNAcentral's name for it is "long non-coding RNA (LUSI_LNC007156)". The record is from RNAcentral. Lineage: Eukaryota; Viridiplantae; Streptophyta; Magnoliopsida; Malpighiales; Linaceae.